GACGAACGCUGGCGGCGUGCUUAACACAUGCAAGUCGAACGGAAAGGCCCUGCUUUUGUGGGGUGCUCGAGUGGCGAACGGGUGAGUAACACGUGAGUAACCUGCCCUUGACUUUGGGAUAACUUCAGGAAACUGGGGCUAAUACCGGAUAGGAGCUCCUGCUGCAUGGUGGGGGUUGGAAAGUUUCGGCGGUUGGGGAUGGACUCGCGGCUUAUCAGCUUGUUGGUGGGGUAGUGGCUUACCAAGGCUUUGACGGGUAGCCGGCCUGAGAGGGUGACCGGCCACAUUGGGACUGAGAUACGGCCCAGACUCCUACGGGAGGCAGCAGUGGGGAAUAUUGCACAAUGGGCGGAAGCCUGAUGCGGCAACGCCGCGUGCGGGAUAACGGCCUUCGGGUUGUAAACCGCUUUCGCCUGUGACGAAGCGUGAGUGACGGUAAUGGGUAAAGAAGCACCGGCUAACUACGUG
RNAcentral lists this ribosomal RNA (468 nucleotides) under uncultured bacterium. RNAcentral describes it as "partial 16S ribosomal RNA". It matches the Rfam family "Bacterial small subunit ribosomal RNA", at positions 28 to 507 of the family's 1533-position model. The record is from RNAcentral.